Molecule: ribosomal RNA, 438 nt
Filed under: uncultured bacterium
Lineage: Bacteria
Description: bacterial SSU rRNA
Rfam family: Bacterial small subunit ribosomal RNA
Source: RNAcentral
AUGGGAACGCGAAGAACCUUACCUAGACUUGACAUCUCCUGAAUAGUGUAGAGAUACAUGAAGCCCUUCGGGGCAGGAAGACAGGUGCUGCAUGGCUGUCGUCAGCUCGUGUUGUGAAAUGUUGGGUUAAGUCCCGCAACGAGCGCAACCCUUAUCCUUUGUUGCCAGCGGUUAGGCCGGGAACUCAAAGGAGACUGCCAGUGAUAAACUGGAGGAAGGUGGGGAUGACGUCAAGUCAUCAUGGCCCUUACGAGUAGGGCUACACACGUGCUACAAUGGCGCAUACAAAGAGAAGCGACCUCGCGAGAGCAAGCGGACCUCAUAAAGUGCGUCGUAGUCCGGAUUGGAGUCUGCAACUCGACUCCAUGAAGUCGGAAUCGCUAGUAAUCGUAGAUCAGAAUGCUACGGUGAAUACGUUCCCGGGUCUUGUACACACCG